This 380-nucleotide long non-coding RNA is filed under the name Homo sapiens (human). RNAcentral's name for it is "HSALNT0009608". Lineage: Eukaryota; Metazoa; Chordata; Mammalia; Primates; Hominidae. The record is from RNAcentral.
UUCAUCUUCAUUCAGUGGGUUUCAUGUGACAUUUUGGGGCUGGAAACAUAAUGUGUCAGAAGAUAGCUGCAGCUUCCUACUGCGUUAGUUAUUGUUUCCUUUGUCAGAAGGCCUAAUCAGUUACAUAAAAAAAGAAAGAAGAGAGGAGACAAGAGAAGAAAAGAGAAGAGAAGAGAAGAGAAGAGAAGAGAAGAGAAGAGAAGAGAAGAGAAGAGAAGAGAAGAGAAAAGAAAGGAAAAGAAAAGAAAACAAAAGAAAGGAAAUUACCACGAAACCAGUCCUGGAAAAUGUAAAAUGUUACUUGCAUCAUCAUGUGAAAAAGCUCAAAAGAUGGAAAAAUAUUUUCUAAGUACAUUAUUUGGACAUAAGUAUCUUCCAAU